This 71-nucleotide transfer RNA is filed under the name archaeon. RNAcentral's name for it is "tRNA-Gln". It matches the Rfam family "tRNA". Rfam says of the family: Transfer RNA (tRNA) molecules are approximately 80 nucleotides in length. Their secondary structure includes four short double-helical elements and three loops (D, anti-codon, and T loops). Further hydrogen bonds mediate the characteristic L-shaped molecular structure. tRNAs have two regions of fundamental functional importance: the anti-codon, which is responsible for specific mRNA codon recognition, and the 3' end, to which the tRNAs corresponding amino acid is attached (by aminoacyl-tRNA synthetases). tRNAs cope with the degeneracy of the genetic code in two manners: having more than one tRNA (with a specific anti-codon) for a particular amino acid; and 'wobble' base-pairing, i.e. permitting non-standard base-pairing at the 3rd anti-codon position. The record is from RNAcentral.
GUCCCAUAGUGUAGCGGUUAUCACUUCGGAUUCUGAUUCCGACAACCCGAGUUCGAGUCUCGGUGGGACCU